AUUGAACGCUGGCGGCAGGCUUAACACAUGCAAGUCGAGCGGGGUGAUGGUGCUUGCACUAUCACUUAGCGGCGGACGGGUGAGUAAUGCUUAGGAAUCUGCCUAUUAGUGGGGGACAACAUCUCGACAGGGAUGCUAAUACCGCAUACGUCCUACGGGAGAAAGCAGGCGAUCACUUGUGACCUUGCGCUAAUAGAUGAGCCUAAGUCGGAUUAGAUAGUUGGUGGGGUAAAGGCCUACCAAGGCGACGAUAUGUAGCGGGUCUGAGAGGAUGAUCCGCCACACUGGGACUGAGACACGGCCCAGACUCCUACGGGAGGCAGCAGUGGGGAAUAUUGGACAAUGGGGGGAACCCUGAUCCAGCCAUGCCGCGUGUGUGAAGAAGGCCUUAUGGUUGUAAAGCACUUUAAGCGAGGAGGAGGCUCUUUUGGUUAAUACCCAAGAUGAGUGGACGUUACUCGCAGAAUAAGCACCGGCUAACUCUGUGCCAGCCGCCGCCGUAA
This 503-nucleotide ribosomal RNA is filed under the name uncultured bacterium. RNAcentral's name for it is "partial 16S ribosomal RNA". It matches the Rfam family "Bacterial small subunit ribosomal RNA", at positions 30 to 523 of the family's 1533-position model. The record is from RNAcentral.